GGGGAAUUUUGGACAAUGGGCGCAAGCCUGAUCCAGCCAUGCCGCGUGUCUGAAGAAGGCCUUCGGGUUGUAAAGGACUUUUGUCAGGGAAGAAAAGGGCGGGGUUAAUACCCCUGUCUGAUGACGGUACCUGAAGAAUAAGCACCGGCUAACUACGUGCCAGCAGCCGCGGUAAUACGUAGGGUGCGAGCGUUAAUCGGAAUUACUGGGCGUAAAGCGGGCGCAGACGGUUACUUAAGCAGGAUGCGAAAUCCCCGGGCUCAACCUGGGAACUGCGUUCUGAACUGGGUGACUAGAGUGUGUCAGAGGGAGGUAGAAUUCCACGUGUAGCAGUGAAAUGCGUAGAGAUGUGGAGGAAUACCGAUGGCGAAGGCAGCCUCCUGGGAUAACACUGACGUUCAUGCCCGAAAGCGUGGGUAGCAAACAGGAUUAGAUACCCUGGUAGUCCACGCCCUAAACGAUGUCGAUUAGCUGUUGGGCAGCAUGACUGCUUAGUAGCGAAGCUAACGCGUGAAAUCGACCGCCUGGGGAGUACGGUCGCAAGAUUA
This 548-nucleotide ribosomal RNA is filed under the name uncultured bacterium. RNAcentral describes it as "bacterial SSU rRNA". It matches the Rfam family "Bacterial small subunit ribosomal RNA", at positions 356 to 896 of the family's 1533-position model. The record is from RNAcentral.